This 472-nucleotide ribosomal RNA is filed under the name uncultured bacterium. RNAcentral's name for it is "bacterial SSU rRNA". It matches the Rfam family "Bacterial small subunit ribosomal RNA", at positions 8 to 526 of the family's 1533-position model. The record is from RNAcentral.
AGAGUUUGAUCAUGGCUCAGAACGAACGCUGGCGGCGCGCUUAACACAUGCAAGUCGAGCGGGGGGCUUCGGCCCCCAGCGGCGGACGGGUGAGUAACGCGUGGGAACCUGCCCUGGAGUCUGGGAUAACAGCUGGAAACGGCUGCUAACACCGGAUACGCCCGAGAGGGGAAAGUUGACGCUCUGGGAUGGGCCCGCGUCCGAUUAGCUAGUUGGUGAGGUAACGGCUCACCAAGGCUUCGAUCGGUAGCUGGUCUGAGAGGAUGGCCAGCCACACUGGGACUGAGACACGGCCCAGACUCCUACGGGAGGCAGCAGUGGGGAAUCUUGGACAAUGGGGGCAACCCUGAUCCAGCGACGCCGCGUGGGUGAUGAAGGCCUUCGGGUUGUAAAGCCCUUUUCCUGGGGACGAUGAUGACGGUACCCGGGGAAUAAGCACCGGCUAACUCCGUGCCAGCAGCCGCGGUAAUAC